CGGAUGCUUGUUUGAACCGCAUGGUUCAAACAUAAAAGGUGGCUUCGGCUACCACUUACAGAUGGACCCGCGGCGCAUUAGCUAGUUGGUGAGGUAACGGCUCACCAAGGCAACGAUGCGUAGCCGACCUGAGAGGGUGAUCGGCCACACUGGGACUGAGACACGGCCCAGACUCCUACGGGAGGCAGCAGUAGGGAAUCUUCCGCAAUGGACGAAAGUCUGACGGAGCAACGCCGCGUGAGUGAUGAAGGUUUUCGGAUCGUAAAGCUCUGUUGUUAGGGAAGAACAAGUACCGUUCAAAUAGGGCGGUACCUUGACGGUACCUAACCAGAAAGCCACGGCUAACUACGUGCCAGCAGCCGCGGUAAUACGUAGGUGGCAAGCGUUGUCCGGAAUUAUUGGGCGUAAAGGGCUCGCAGGCGGUUCCUUAAGUCUGAUGUGAAAGCCCCCGGCUCAACCGGGGAGGGUCAUUGGAAACUGGGGAACUUGAGUGCAGAAGAGGAGAGUGGAAUUCCACGUGUAGCGGUGAAAUGCGUAGAGAUGUGGAGGAACACCAGUGGCGAAGGCGACUCUCUGGUCUGUAACUGACGCUGAGGAGCGAAAGCGUGGGGAGCGAACAGGAUUAGAUACCCUGGUAGUCCACGCCGUAAACGAUGAGUGCUAAGUGUUAGGGGGUUUCCGCCCCUUAGUGCUGCAGCUAACGCAUUAAGCACUCCGCCUGGGGAGUACGGUCGCAAGACUGAAACUCAAAGGAAUUGACGGGGGCCCGCACAAGCGGUGGAGCAUGUGGUUUAAUUCGAAGCAACGCGAAGAACCUUACCAGGUCUUGACAUCCUCUGACAAUCCUAGAGAUAGGACGUCCCCUUCGGGGGCAGAGUGACAGGUGGUGCAUGGUUGUCGUCAGCUCGUGUCGUGAGAUGUUGGGUUAAGUCCCGCAACGAGCGCAACCCUUGAUCUUAGUUGCCAGCAUUCAGUUGGGCACUCUAAGGUGACUGCCGGUGACAAACCGGAGGAAGGUGGGGAUGACGUCAAAUCAUCAUGCCCCUUAUGACCUGGGCUACACACGUGCUACAAUGGACAGAACAAAGGGCAGCGAAACCGCGAGGUUAAGCCAAUCCCACAAAUCUGUUCUCAGUUCGGAUCGCAGUCUGCAACUC
Molecule: ribosomal RNA, 1157 nt
Filed under: Bacillus sp. ZC4
Lineage: Bacteria; Bacillati; Bacillota; Bacilli; Caryophanales; Bacillaceae
Description: bacterial SSU rRNA
Rfam family: Bacterial small subunit ribosomal RNA
Source: RNAcentral